GUGAACGCUGGCGGCGUGCCUAAUACAUGCAAGUCGAACGAUGAAGCUCUAGCUUGCUAGAGUGGAUUAGUGGCGCACGGGUGAGUAAUGCAUAGAUAACAUGCCCUUUAGUCUAGGAUAGCCAUUGGAAACGAUGAUUAAUACUGGAUACUCCUUACGAGGGAAAGUUUUUCGCUAAAGGAUUGGUCUAUGUCCUAUCAGCUUGUUGGUGAGGUAAUGGCUCACCAAGGCUAUGACGGGUAUCCGGCCUGAGAGGGUGAACGGACACACUGGAACUGAGACACGGUCCAGACUCCUACGGGAGGCAGCAGUAGGGAAUAUUGCUCAAUGGGGGAAACCCUGAAGCAGCAACGCCGCGUGGAGGAUGAAGGUUUUCGGAUUGUAAACUCCUUUUGUUAGAGAAGAUAAUGACGGUAUCUAACGAAUAAGCACCGGCUAACUCCGUGCCAGCAGCCGCGGUAAUACGGAGGGUGCAAGCGUUACUCGGAAUCACUGGGCGUAAAGAGCGCGUAGGCGGGAUAGCAAGUCAGAUGUGAAAUCCUAUGGCUUAACCAUAGAACUGCAUUUGAAACUGUUAUUCUAGAGUAUGGGAGAGGUAGGUGGAAUUCUUGGUGUAGGGGUAAAAUCCGUAGAGAUCAAGAGGAAUACUCAUUGCGAAGGCGACCUGCUAGAACAUAACUGACGCUGAUGCGCGAAAGCGUGGGGAGCAAACAGGAUUAGAUACCCUGGUAGUCCACGCCCUAAACGAUGAAUGCUAGUUGUUGUGGAGCUUGUCUCUGCAGUAAUGCAGCUAACGCAUUAAGCAUUCCGCCUGGGGAGUACGGUCGCAAGAUUAAAACUCAAAGGAAUAGACGGGGACCCGCACAAGCGGUGGAGCAUGUGGUUUAAUUCGAAGAUACACGAAGAACCUUACCUAGGCUUGACAUUGAUAGAAUCCGCUAGAGAUAGUGGAGUGCUAGCUUGCUAGAACUUGAAAACAGGUGCUGCACGGCUGUCGUCAGCUCGUGUCGUGAGAUGUUGGGUUAAGUCCCGCAACGAGCGCAACCCUCGUCCUUAGUUGCUAACUAUUCGGUAGAGCACUCUAAGGAGACUGCCUUCGCAAGGAGGAGGAAGGUGAGGAUGACGUCAAGUCAUCAUGGCCCUUACGCCUAGGGCUACACACGUGCUACAAUGGGAAGCACAAAGAGAUGCAAUAUUGUGAAAUGGAGCAAAUCUAUAAAACUUCUCUCAGUUCGGAUUGUAGUCUGCAACUCGACUACAUGAAGCUGGAAUCGCUAGUAAUCGUGAAUCAGCCAUGUCACGGUGAAUACGUUCCCGGGUCUUGUACUCACCGCCCGUCACACCAUGGGAGUUGUAUUCGCCUUAAGUCGGGAUACUAAAUUGGUUACCGCCCACGGCGGAUG
RNAcentral lists this ribosomal RNA (1403 nucleotides) under uncultured Helicobacter sp. RNAcentral describes it as "partial 16S ribosomal RNA". It matches the Rfam family "Bacterial small subunit ribosomal RNA". The record is from RNAcentral. Lineage: Bacteria; Pseudomonadati; Campylobacterota; Epsilonproteobacteria; Campylobacterales; Helicobacteraceae.